ACAUACUAUUUUUCUGAAGCACUCUGUUGUAAGGUUGAGUUGUAUAGUACGAGUGUUUUCUCUUAAACAUUUUAAAAAGCGUGUAACAGGUGGGCUCUACAUCGUUGUGUACAACGAAGACUUAAGACUUACCUAUUUUAGUUGAAAAGCUAUUUUAUAAGACAUUAGUGAGGAAAUAAUAUCAUAAAUAACUAAAUCGAUGUGUGUUUUAACGAUUAUUUAAUUUAUGUUUUAAUUUUCAUUAAAUACUAGAUUUUUUUUAAAUAUUAUUGCAAAGUGUGGGUGUCUAAAGAUAAUAUGGGAUCAAGAAAAUACAAAUUAAAAUAUUAUAAUGCAGUGUAAAAUAACUUUAUUUAUGUCUUCAUAAUUUUACAUUGUAUCCAAUGAGGUACAUCGCCUUCAAAGAAGUUACUAUGAGCAUGGUGACCAGCGGUCAAGCCGAAGAUCAUGAAGAUUUCACUGCUGAUCAUCACUGUGGCAAUCCAAAUGACGAUCACCCAUGGAAGGAACAAGCCACUACCAAUCCACAUCCAUACGGUUAAUAAUUUACUCACGCAUAAGAAAACCCGCUGACGUUGAAUAGAUACAUCCGCCAGCUGUCAGAUCUAUGGAAGUAAUUAUGUGCGCAGAUUGUUAGGGCGC
Colias croceus (clouded yellow) is the source of this 642-nucleotide long non-coding RNA. RefSeq lists it as uncharacterized. The transcript is spliced from 3 exons. The record is from RefSeq and is a predicted model, not a curated record. Lineage: Eukaryota; Metazoa; Arthropoda; Insecta; Lepidoptera; Pieridae.